Molecule: long non-coding RNA, 1004 nt
Organism: Diabrotica virgifera virgifera (western corn rootworm)
Lineage: Eukaryota; Metazoa; Arthropoda; Insecta; Coleoptera; Chrysomelidae
Exons: 2
Source: RefSeq, a predicted model, not a curated record
CAAGCCAGUGACGUCAUUAUUUAACGUACGCAGUGACUGUAUAUUUUGGUAAAUACAUGCUAUUUUGAUAUGUUUAGUGUUUGUUUGAUAGAAAAAUAUUUAUUAAGGGAAGGGAAGCAGAACUAUUCAGAUGUUUCAAACUUAAUUGUAAUCAAUAGGCCGUUCCAAGAUGCUGUCAAAAUUAAAUCAAUAUGGCUACCGGAAGGCAAACAUUGAAUAUUAUUCUAUCAGGUUCUUAUGGUUUUAGAUCAUUUUAGUUGUUGUACAAAGAUUAAUUUAACAUUUUCUCUGGAAGUAUUAAUUUAGAAAGAUAAUAUGCCUCAUUGGUGUUGUGUUUUGAAGUGUGAAAUGCAAAGUAAUCGUGAUAAAGUUAGCUUUUACCACUUACCAUCAGUGCUACAUUCUAAGCACAAAACUGAACCAAUUUAACUAAAUAAGUUAUAGUUAUCAUCUGAGAGACAACAACAAUGGUAAAAUGCAAUAAAAUAUUAAGAUUUUACUAGCAAAAUGGAAAUUCCCCUGUAAUCAUCUUAUAUCUGGUAAGUUACAACAUUUGAACAUUAACCAUUUUUGAAGAUGUUAACAGUCUAAUCUUGUAGGAAAACCAGCCGACUUAACUGAUAAUAACAAUCCAGAUUGGGUUCCUUCAAUAAAUAUGGGGUAUAUAAACACAAUGAAAUGAGUUCCCCAAAAUCUAAAAUGGGAAUUAAGGUACCAAAGGAGAAUAAAAGGAAAAGGGUACCUACAAGAAAAAAUUGCUUUUUUAUUCCUCUUGAAAUGAUUUAUAAGACACUGGACUGUCUUAUAUUCUACAAAUACUAGAAUCAGCUGAGAGAAGUGGUCUACAAAAACCCAGGAAGGAAACGGAAUAUGUGGCUACGAAAGGCAAAAGAAAGGUUUACAAAGCAAAUGUGACACAUUUUUUUGAAAUAUUUAGGAAUAUCAGUAAAUUGCAUUAAAAAAAUGUAUGAAAAGAUUUUGUUCAAUAAAAAUGUUUAUAUUUA